Molecule: long non-coding RNA, 1276 nt
Filed under: Agrilus planipennis (emerald ash borer)
Lineage: Eukaryota; Metazoa; Arthropoda; Insecta; Coleoptera; Buprestidae
Description: uncharacterized LOC112905224, transcript variant X3
Source: RNAcentral
AUAUAUGUUACUUCAGAAUUCAAGAUUUUAUCUUUUGAAUUUUAAAUAAUUUGCGCCAAAAUUAUAUAUCGCGCCUGCAGCGCUCUCUCCCAUCAGCUUCGCUAACGUUCGGAUAAUCUCGUUACCAGUUCCACCCUUUGUGUAUCUAUUAUCUAUGGGUAUCAAUUAUCUAUGAGUUCCACUAAGGUGAUUAUUCAGAUAAAAUAAUUUGUUUUAAAACUAGUUAUCGUGAUAAUUAAUAAUAGUGGAUAUAUUUAAACUGUGUGUUUCUCAAGCGGCUAUUAUAUCAUCAGUAACGUCGAUGUGACAAAAUAAAGUAAUACAUAGAUGUACUUUGGAAUAGACUGUUUCCAGCCUUUACCAAUGCCAAAUACUGUUUCGUCCAGCUGUUCAACCUACACACAGACGAUGCAUUUCUUUUUGUCUUUGUUUCCAAGAGAUUGACUUUGAAUGAGAAGGAGAAAGACAACACUGAAGUUGAUUUGGAUGUUAUGCAGCAACCAGUAUCUACAAUGGUAUUGUGGUUUUUUCUGGACUUUGUAUUCUGUUGUUGUCCUCAUCUUGCAGCAUUAUGCAGUUAAGUUUGGGCCGAUGAAAGAGAACAACGGGAAAUUUUUUUUAAAAGCACUAAACGUGUUACCAUUCUUCCUGGGCUUGGCUUGCCCUUCACACUUGUAAAACUUUGGAACAUUGCAUUCUACAGUUAAUUAAGAUUGAUCAAGUAAGAAAAUUAAAGUUCAUGUUGGUUGCAUCUAAAUAACCAAUUUCUACAUUGGAGGCAUAAUGCAGUUAAUUUUGGGCUGAUGAGAUAGAACUGGAAAUUUAUUUGGAAACCAAACAUGUCAUUGUUCGUUCAUUUGACUUGCUCUUCACACUUGUAAAACUCUGGAACGUUGCAUUCUUCAUUUAUUUAAGGUGAGAAUAUAUGAUGUGAUUGGUAUUAAUGUUCUUUAUUAAUUUGUUUUGGUGUUUAUUUUAAUAUCUACUGUUCUUAGCACAAAUUGAGGUUAUCGUACAUCUAUGGUAAUUCAUUCAGCAGUUAUCUAUUGUCCUUAGUAAAUUGACAUUGUUCAUUUUUGUUCAUAAAAUAAAUUGAGAUUGUGAAUCUAUGAUUGUUUCACAUUUAUCUAUGCUAUGAUGUAAAUUGACAGUUGUUGCCAUCUUAUAAUUCUGUCAUUUUAUUUGCGUUUUGAUGCAUAUUUUGUUGUAUUUCGUAUCUUAUUUAUGUGACAGUGUAAUUAAUUAGUACUUUCUUUUAGGUGUUUAAUGCCUUCCG